RNAcentral lists this unclassified non-coding RNA (354 nucleotides) under soil metagenome. RNAcentral describes it as "partial contains 5.8S ribosomal RNA, internal transcribed spacer 2, and large subunit ribosomal RNA". The stretch from base 1 to 119 matches the Rfam family "5.8S ribosomal RNA", at positions 35 to 154 of the family's 154-position model. The record is from RNAcentral.
GAUGAAGAACGUAACGAAACGCGAAAGGUAAUGCGAAUUGCAGAAUCAGUGAGUCAUCGAAUCUUUGAACGCACAUUGCGCCCCUUGGUAUUCCGGGGGGCACGCCUGUUCGAGCGCCAUUACACACCCCAAGCUAAGCUUGAUGUUGGGCGAUGUCUGUCACAGGACACGCCUGGAACGUAUGGGCGCCGCCGCCGGAUCACGAGUGUAGCAAGACGCAAGUCAUCGCUCGGUCGGUCCUGGCGGUUGGCCGCCGCGCCUCAUGGUAACACAUGGGCCAGUAACUUUUCACAAGUUUGGCCUCGAAUCAGGCGGGGAUACCCGCUGAACUUAAGCAUAUCAAUAAGCGGAGGA